GACGAACGCUGGCGGCGUGCUUAACACAUGCAAGUCGAGCGGUAAGGCCCUUUCGGGGGUACACGAGCGGCGAACGGGUGAGUAACACGUGGGUGACCUGCCCUUAGCUCUGGGAUAAGCCUGGGAAACUGGGUCUAAUACCGGAUAUGACUCCAUGACGCAUGUUGUGGGGUGGAAAGCCUUGUGCGGCUAGGGAUGGGCCCGCGGCCUAUCAGCUUGUUGGUGGGGUGAUGGCCACCAAGGCGACGACGGGUAGCCGGCCUGAGAGGGCGACCGGCCACACUGGGACUGAGACACGGCCCAGACUCCUACGGGAGGCAGCAGUGGGGAAUAUUGCGCAAUGGACGAAAGUCUGACGCAGCGACGCCGCGUGUGGGAUGACGGUCUUCGGAUUGUAAACCACUGUCGGGAGGGACGAAUACGCCGCAAGGCGGGUGACGGUACCUCCAAAGGAAGCACCGGCUAACUCCGUGCCAGCCGCCGCCGUAAC
This 490-nucleotide ribosomal RNA is filed under the name uncultured bacterium. RNAcentral describes it as "bacterial SSU rRNA". It matches the Rfam family "Bacterial small subunit ribosomal RNA", at positions 28 to 524 of the family's 1533-position model. The record is from RNAcentral.